Molecule: long non-coding RNA, 2664 nt
Organism: Capsicum annuum
Lineage: Eukaryota; Viridiplantae; Streptophyta; Magnoliopsida; Solanales; Solanaceae
Exons: 3
Source: RefSeq, a predicted model, not a curated record
AGGAAAUUAAAUCUAGACUUGACUGACAGCGACAAUAGAUGUUGUAUGGAAGAGUUACACCAUGGGCAACUUUGAUAAGUUCGACUCAAGGUAUAACGGUUCUUGAUGCUUAAUUUUGAAGAGAGUGAAAUGGAGAGAUAGUCAUAAUAUAUGUCAGCUUAUCUAUUCCUCAGUCAUCAAUAUUUGAACCCUCGCUUGGCACAAGUAAAAGACAAUUGUUGCCCUUCACCUUUAGCAUCUCUUAUUGUCAUUCUACUUACAAAAAUUGUCAGUUGGAUAGAAAACGGUGACGUUUUUUCACUUGUGAUUCCUCCUCAGAGCUUCUACUUCUUCCUUUCCCUAUUGACCAGGUGAACCUACGUACUUCAUUGUUUCCUUUUCUCGCUUCUUGUCCUUUCAUUUUUUUGGGUGUUUCUCCGUUUACUGAGCUUAUCAUUUUCUUCAAGUAAAAUUGAGAGUGUACUCAGAUUUUGCAUUUUUUGGGUAAAGUUUGAGGUUGUUUGCAAGCUAAAGCUAAAGACCUUUGUUAUGCAUGCAGGUAUUAGUCCAUUCAGAGAAAAAGAUACUACAUUUGUAUAAAGCAAGAUACUUGGCACUGUCACAACAGGUUGAGAAAUUGGAGAUUGAUGGGAAGAAGAUCUUUCAACCAAAGUUUGACGAACAAAGGUACUAAGAGUCAAGAGAUGUCAAAAGUUGGGUAUGGAAUGAGGUACGACCAAUUUUCCCUGUCAAUGCUCAGCUUGCUGAUUGGAAAAGAGGAAUAUUCGACUUUGUGCUUUUAUAAAUAAUAGAUGUUACGCCAACCGAGUAAGUUAUUUAAUGGCAUAGGAAAGUAUAAGUAGUAUAGAGUCUACUUCAGGUUUCUUGUAGCAAUCAUUUGCCAUGAGUAUUGAAUUAAGCACUAUGGACACUCUUAUGCUCACAAUAAGAACAUCCAGGAAGAUCUUCACUUUGACAUAAUAUCUAGGUAGAACCAUACUUGACAGGUGUGGUUAUACCAUUGUUGGACAACAUUUCACACAGUAAUACAGAGCUAAGUUCUAAAGUGUUGGAGAUAAAAGAAGCUCCCUGUAAUUUGAAUUACUGUAAUUUCACACAGUAAUACCCAGAAUCAGAAAGUGAGAGUUUCCUGUGGGUAAUGGUGUCCUCUUCUUCAAUUCAAGAUUGAAACUCUUCACGGGAAAGCUUAGAUAGAAGUGGUCAGUCCUGUUUGUGAUCUUAAAUGUUUACCUGAGUAGAGCUAUUGAGUUGGAAGAUCAUGAGAAGAAGAAAUUUGUGGUGAAUGGCCAACAAUUGAAACACUGUUAUGUGGGUGGACUCGGAGAGACUAAGGUUGAGUCACUUCGCUUCAAAGAAUCAAAAUGAUGACCAAGUGAUGUCGUGCCACCACUAUAACUACGGCGCUUCUUGAGAGGCAAUCUAAGAUUUAUUUUUUAUGUUUUCUUAUGUUUCUUAUAUUAAUUUUAGCUUAAUUUUGAUUGAUGCAGGUAAUAUUACAAGAUUGGGGUGCGAGAAACUAGAUUCGGGGGCUCAAAAGUGAGCCCCGAACUGGAAUGCAGAUUGUUUAUGUUUUAAACCAAGGUGCAGCAGCUAUUCUACCUCGACCUACGCUGGACAUGCUCAAGAAGUCCAGGCGCAGGUCAGUCAUAAUUGGGAUGCAGGUAAAGUUGCGUAUUCUGUCGUGAGAUGCGCGAACUGCUCAAGAAGUCCAGGCACAAAAGGGACACAGAAGAGGCUUAAUUUCAGGCAACAAAACUGAAGGUUACUGCCUGGACCUGCGCUGGACUUGCUACAGCAGUCCAGGCGUAGGCCGGGUGCUUGUUAGACGCAGAGCAAGCUAUUACAUACUGUUAUGACUUGCGUUGGAACUGCUUACGCAGUCCAGCAGCAGGUCCAUCGCAUGUGGGACGCAGGCUGGUUAAAAAUGACGCUUAGGAGCUGCUACAAACUGUCCAGGUAUGCGCUGGAACUGCUUCAACAGUCCAGUCGCAAAUUCAAUGCAUUUGGCGCGCAGGUCAUUUUAAAUAAGUUGUAAGUUGUAAAAAAUGGGUUGGAUUUUAUGGGGCUGACCUGACCCGGUUAGCCCAAAAUUAUUUUAAACAAUUAAAAGGGAGCCAAAAAUAGUCGAGCACCUCAUUUUAUUUCAUUGCAACUCUAUUCUAACGUUUCUUUUCUCUCACACUCAUCAUACUCUCCUUCUUUACCAACAAUUGAACUAACAAAAAGUGAGAUCAUUCCUUUGGACUUGUACUUCACUUUUUCCCCUCUCUUACAUCAAGAAAGGUACAUCUCCAAGGAAAAACUCGUCAUGAGAAAUUAUCCAGGGAUGAUGAGUCACCCUUCAUAGCAGACUCGAUGAGAGGAGCUCAGUCUGAUGAGGAUCCUAUUAAGACAGUACGAUUAUUCACCGACAUGGACCCGAGCGCCUAAUGCUCCACAAGGAGUCUUUACCCUCCUUUACUCUCUCUUAUUUCUGCAUUGGGGACAAUGCAAUAUUUUUAGUGGGGGUGGGGUAUUUUUAUGAUUCAUUUGAUGGUCGGUACCUACUGUCUCAUUUUAUGGCAUGUAGUUUGAUAAAUUGUGGAGACAUAUUCUAUUUUAUUACUUUAAUUUUUGUGUACUUUAGCCCUUGUGGGGCGUGUUUUUUCUUUAAUUAUUGGCAUU